Molecule: transfer RNA, 74 nt
Filed under: Eleotris amblyopsis (large-scaled spinycheek sleeper)
Lineage: Eukaryota; Metazoa; Chordata; Actinopteri; Gobiiformes; Eleotridae
Description: tRNA-Leu
Rfam family: tRNA
About the family: Transfer RNA (tRNA) molecules are approximately 80 nucleotides in length. Their secondary structure includes four short double-helical elements and three loops (D, anti-codon, and T loops).
Source: RNAcentral
GUUAAGGUGGCAGAGCCCGGCGAAUGCAAAAGACCUAAGCCCUUUAGACAGAGGUUCAACUCCUCUUCUUAACU